CCUACGGGAGGCAGCAGUGAGGAAUAUUGGUCAAUGGGCGGGAGCCUGAACCAGCCAAGUCGCGUGAAGGAAUAAGGUACUUAGUAUUGUAAACUUCUUUUAUAUGGGAACAAAUGCGGAGACGCGUCCCCCGAUGUGUGUACCCGACGAAUAAGCAUCGGCUAACUCCGUGCCAGCAGCCGCGGUAAUACUGAGGAUGCGACCGUUAUCCGGAUUUAUUGGGGGUAAAGGGUGCGCAGGGUGGAUGUUAAGGUCGGGGUGAAAGUGUGGGGCUCACCCGCCGCCUGGCAGUUGAAACUGGUAGUCUAGAGUAAGGGAGAGGUAAGCGGAAUUCGUGGUGUAGCGGUGAAAUGCAUAGAUAUCACGAAGAACUCUGAUUGCGAAGGCAGCUUACUGG
This 397-nucleotide ribosomal RNA is filed under the name uncultured bacterium. Its description in RNAcentral is "partial 16S ribosomal RNA". It matches the Rfam family "Bacterial small subunit ribosomal RNA", at positions 338 to 732 of the family's 1533-position model. The record is from RNAcentral.